UUGGAAUGCUUAUUUGGAAGUUUGGGGCGAAAUUCAAGGGUUAUACUGCAAAGUUUGGAAGUUUUGGGUCCACUGUGAUGUUAACAAGAAUCCAGGGACCAAGGUUGCAAAUUCGUAAUAUUCGCUUGGGCUAAAUCGCGCAUUGGAAACUUUGGGUUUGAUUCGCAAGGGCAUUUUUGCACAUUCCAAAGGCUGGGUCCGUUUUGUAAAGAAUCAAAAGGACAGGGACUGGUUUUGAAAAUAAUGAAGAAGUCUCCAUUGGAGGAGAUCGAGAGUUUGGUUUCAACGCGAACGACGGCGAGGCUAAUUCCAACCACGGCAAAGCUCGACGACGAUGAGACUCGAGCACCUGAGAGCACGACCUGGAGGAGGAUAGCUCGAGAAAUGGAGAGGUCGUGGACAUGAGACCUCACGUCGAUGGCAUCCGGUCGCGGUGAGGGAUGAUCCCGACGACGAGAAUGAGCACGGCCACGGGAGAUAGAGAGGCCGUGAGCCAGUGACGACGAAGGAGACGACGGCUGAAGCUGGAGACGAGGAAGCUCGGGUCUCGAGACAAAGAAGAGCGAAUCGGAGCUCAAGCUCGAAGAAGUUCACAGCGACUUGGCAAAGCGGGUUAAUGAGGUCGCCACAUCAUGAGCGAGUGCUGGAGCGGCCAUUGGUAGCGGGGACGUGACGCCGCUCGGGAAGACGCGGAUUCGCUAGCGGCCACUGGUAGCGGGACGUGAUGGCCGCUACGAACAGAUUUGGAGAUGUUGACCGGUUUAUUCCGGUUUGACCCGGUUUAAUUCACUAAACCAGCUCGAGUUUGGCAUGUCUUAUAUAUAGUUUUAAACCUAAAAACCUGAGGGAUAUCUCAUUUUUCUCUCAAGAACUUGCCUCCCU
This 882-nucleotide long non-coding RNA is filed under the name Brassica napus (rape). Its description in RNAcentral is "long non-coding RNA (BNAP_LNC016393)". The record is from RNAcentral. Lineage: Eukaryota; Viridiplantae; Streptophyta; Magnoliopsida; Brassicales; Brassicaceae.